This 319-nucleotide non-coding RNA is filed under the name unclassified sequences. The record is from Rfam.
UAGUAGUCUGAUGGAUCGAAAGAUGAAGGGCGAGAAGCUGGAUGGAAAUCUGGUAAAAGGGCGCAAGAGAUCCGGUGGAUCUCUGCUCUGCGCGGACCGAAGCGAAGCGUAGACCGGCAUGUUGCGUAAGGAUAAUUAACCACAGAGGGCGAGAAGUUCGUCCUUAUCCUCAAAAGGCUAAAAGAGGAGAUAGUGCUUCUGAUAAUUCAGAAGGGCGUCGUGAAACACAUUUUGUGGCUCGUCUGUAACUCCCGGAGGUGAGAACACCUCUUUGUACACGGGGCGAUAUAGGAGUCUAGAAGACUGGCGUGUACCUACA